AACCCUGUGCUUACAAGCACUGAGAGCUCGUCAAAGAGUGAUCAGGUACCUAUUGUAGAAUGGUCCGGCGAGUUAUGAUAUGCAGCAAGGUUAAGUACUUAAGGUACGGAGCCGCAGCGAGAGCGAGUCUGAAUAGGGCGUAAAGUUGUAUGUCAUAGACCCGAAACCGAGUGACCUAGCCAUGUCCAGGCUGAAGUGGAGGUAAAACUCCAUGGAGGGCCGAACCGACCUCCGUUGAAAAGGCGGCGGAUGAGGUGUGGCUAGCGGAGAAAUUCCAAUCGAACUCGGAUAUAGCUGGUUCUCUCCGAAAUAGCUUUAGGGCUAGCGUUGCAACAGAUUACCGGAGGUAAAGCACUGAAUAGGCUAGGGGGCGAGAGCUUACUGAACCUUAUCAAACUAAGAAUGCCGGAUAAUUGAUUUGCAGCAGUCAGACAGUGUGAGAUAAGUUUCAUUGUCAAAAGGGAAACAGCCCAGACCCACAGCUAAGGUCCCAAAGUACAUUUGAGUGGAAAAGGAUGUGGGGUUGCAUAGACAACCGGGAUGUUGGCUUAGAAGCAGCCAUACAUUAAAAGAGUGCGUAAUAGCUCACCGGUCGAGUGACCCUGCGCCGAAAAUUCAACGGGGCUAAAAUGUACACCGAAGCUUGGGAUUGUACUAUGUACAGUGGUAGGAGAGCGUCGAAUACGGGGUGAAGUCAGAGCGGAAGCGCUGGUGGACUGUAUUCGAGUGAGAAUGCCGGAAUGAGUAGCGAGAAUUAUGUGAGAAUCAUAAUGGCCGAAAGUCUAAGGUUUUGGAAGGAAGGUUCGUCCGCUUCCAGUAAGCCGGGAGCUAAGGUGAGGCCGAAAGGCGUAGCCGAUGCACAUACGGUUGAAAUUCCGUAGCCUCCGAAGUAUUUAAACAGAAGGACACUUGAGAAGUGAUGUUGCCGGGCGAUGGUUGACCCGGUCGUAAGGGACCGAAAUUUAGUAGGGAAGUCAUCAUGGAUUGAGGCGAGAAAAGUUCUGUGAAUAUACAAGGAGCCCGUACCGCAAACCGACACAGGUAGAUAGGAAGAAAAUUCUAAGGCCAACGGGAGAAGGGUUGUUAAGGAACUCGGCAAGUUGACCCCGUAACUUCGGAAUAAGGGGUGCUCUCGAGAGAGAGCCGCAGAGAAUAGGCCCAGGCGACUGUUUAGCAAAAACACAGCUCUAUGCUAAAUCGAAAGAUGAUGUAUAUGGGGUGACACCUGCCCGGUGCCGGAAGGUUAAGAGGAGGCGUGAGAGCGCUGAAUUGAAGCCCCGGUAAACGGCGGCCGUAACUAUAACGGUCCUAAGGUAGCGAAAUUCCUUGUCAGGUAAGUUCUGACCCGCACGAAUGGUGUAACGAUCUGGGCACUGUCUCAACAACCCGCCCGGCGAAAUUGUAGUACCGGUGAAGAUGCCGGUUACCCGCGACUAGACGGAAAGACCCCAUGGAGCUUUACUGUAGCUUAAUAUUGGAUUUC
RNAcentral lists this ribosomal RNA (1483 nucleotides) under human gut metagenome. RNAcentral's name for it is "bacterial LSU rRNA". It matches the Rfam family "Bacterial large subunit ribosomal RNA", at positions 554 to 2125 of the family's 2925-position model. The record is from RNAcentral.